RNAcentral lists this transfer RNA (70 nucleotides) under Dinorhynchus dybowskyi. RNAcentral's name for it is "tRNA-Ser". It matches the Rfam family "tRNA". From Rfam's summary of the family: Transfer RNA (tRNA) molecules are approximately 80 nucleotides in length. The record is from RNAcentral. Lineage: Eukaryota; Metazoa; Arthropoda; Insecta; Hemiptera; Pentatomidae.
AGUUAAUAAAUUUUAGAGUAAAUAUAUACCUUGAAAGUAUAAUAAGAAAGUUCAAUUCUUUCAUUAACUU